GAUGAACGCUGGCGGCGUGCCUAAUACAUGCAAGUCGAGCGAACAGACGAGGAGCUUGCUCCUUUGACGUUAGCGGCGGACGGGUGAGUAACACGUGGGUAACCUACCUAUAAGACUGGGAUAACUUCGGGAAACCGGAGCUAAUACCGGAUAAUAUUUCGAACCGCAUGGUUCGAUAGUGAAAGAUGGCUUUGCUAUCACUUAUAGAUGGACCUGCGCCGUAUUAGCUAGUUGGUAAGGUAACGGCUUACCAAGGCAACGAUACGUAGCCGACCUGAGAGGGUGAUCGGCCACACUGGAACUGAGACACGGUCCAGACUCCUACGGGAGGCAGCAGUAGGGAAUCUUCCGCAAUGGGCGAAAGCCUGACGGAGCAACGCCGCGUGAGUGAUGAAGGUCUUCGGAUCGUAAAACUCUGUUAUUAGGGAAGAACAAACGUGUAAGUAACUGUGCACGUCUUGACGGUACCUAAUCAGAAAGCCACGGCUAACUACGUGCCAGCAGCCGCGGUAGUACGUAGGUGGCAAGCGUUAUCCGGAAUUAUUGGGCGUAAAGCGCGCGUAGGCGGUUUUUUAAGUCUGAUGUGAAAGCCCACGGCUCAACCGUGGAGGGUCAUUGGAAACUGGAAAACUUGAGUGCAGAAGAGGAAAGUGGAAUUCCAUGUGUAGCGGUGAAAUGCGCAGAGAUAUGGAGGAACACCAGUGGCGAAGGCGACUUUCUGGUCUGUAACUGACGCUGAUGUGCGAAAGCGUGGGGAUCAAACAGGAUUAGAUACCCUGGUAGUCCACGCCGUAAACGAUGAGUGCUAAGUGUUAGGGGGGUUUCCGCCCCUUAGUGCUGCAGCUAACGCAUUAAGCACUCCGCCUGGGGAGUACGACCGCAAGGUUGAAACUCAAAGGAAUUGACGGGGACCCGCACAAGCGGUGGAGCAUGUGGUUUAAUUCGAAGCAACGCGAAGAACCUUACCAAAUCUUGACAUCCUUUGACCCUUCUAGAGAUAGAAGUUUCCCCUUCGGGGGACAAAGUGACAGGUGGUGCAUGGUUGUCGUCAGUUCGUGUCGUGAGAUGUUGGGUUAAGUCCCGCAACGAGCGCAACCCUUAAGCUUAGUUGCCAUCAUUAAGUUGGGCACUCUAAGUUGACUGCCGGUGACAAACCGGAGGAAGGUGGGGAUGACGUCAAAUCAUCAUGCCCCUUAUGAUUUGGGCUACACACGUGCUACAAUGGACAAUACAAAGGGCAGCGAAACCGCGAGGUCAAGCAAAUCCCAUAAAGUUGUUCUCAGUUCGGAUUGUAGUCUGCAACUCGACUACAUGAAGCUGGAAUCGCUAGUAAUCGUAGAUCAGCAUGCUACGGUGAAUACGUUCCCGGGUCU
RNAcentral lists this ribosomal RNA (1373 nucleotides) under uncultured bacterium. Its description in RNAcentral is "bacterial SSU rRNA". It matches the Rfam family "Bacterial small subunit ribosomal RNA", at positions 28 to 1381 of the family's 1533-position model. The record is from RNAcentral.